Molecule: ribosomal RNA, 402 nt
Filed under: uncultured bacterium
Lineage: Bacteria
Description: bacterial SSU rRNA
Rfam family: Bacterial small subunit ribosomal RNA
Source: RNAcentral
UGGGGAAUAUUGCACAAUGGGCGAAAGCCUGAUGCAGCAACGCCGCGUGAGUGAUGAAGGCCUUCGGGUUGUAAAGCUCUGUCUUCUGGGACGAUAAUGACGGUACCAGAGGAGGAAGCCACGGCUAACUACGUGCCAGCAGCCGCGGUAAUACGUAGGUGGCAAGCGUUGUCCGGAUUUACUGGGCGUAAAGGAUGCGUAGGCGGAUACUUAAGUCAGAUGUGAAAAUCCCGGGCUUAACUUGGGAACUGCAUUUGAAACUGGGUAUCUAGAGUGCGGGAGAGGAAAGUGGACUUCCUAGUGUAGCGGUGAAAUGCGUAGAGAUUAGGAAGGACACCAGUGGCGAAGGCGACUUUCUGGACCGUAACUGACGCUGAGGCAUGAAAGCGUGGGGAGCAAACA